GAGAUUCCAAGCCGAACUUGUUCUUGGGGAAUUCGUAAUGAAGCGCUUUUUCGUAGCGUUUAACUCGGUAAAUAGUGAAAGUUAAAAUCCUACGAAGCUCGACGGCUCGACCAAGCUCGACCAAGCCUGAAAAUUUCUUUCCUAACUAGAGUCGAUAAACUAUCAUCAUUUGUUCAUCGAAAAAUGAAUCCGAAUAAGCGACGGGAAAUUUACACGUAGAACUGUGACGAAAUAAACAAGUGGGGAAAGGUGAAGGAUGGAAAUGCGACGAGUACAAUCAGCCGAUAUUGCAGG
Venturia canescens is the source of this 294-nucleotide long non-coding RNA. RefSeq lists it as uncharacterized. The transcript is spliced from 2 exons. The record is from RefSeq and is a predicted model, not a curated record. Lineage: Eukaryota; Metazoa; Arthropoda; Insecta; Hymenoptera; Ichneumonidae.